AUGUCUUAUGGUGCAGACGGCCAUGAAAAUCGAAAGGAAAUAUCGGUAACAUAUGGAUCAAAGGACCAAGAAAUUCGCAAGGAAGCAUCAGGAUCCUACGGGUUAAAAGGUGAAAGGGAUUUAAAAGAAAUCUCAGUGUCUUAUGGUGUAGACGGCCAGGAGAUUCUAAAGGAAGGCUCCACAUCACACGAAGAAAAUUCAAAGGAAGUCAGUAUGUCAUAUGGGUCAGUUGAAGAGAAAGAUGAACAAGCCGACGUUCUGAAUCAAGUAAAAGGAGAGGGGAGCCACCAUGUUCACGCUCACAGCUACAAGAACAAGAAAGAGGCGGAUGUCUUUUUCUUCCACGACAUGUUGAGGCCAGGGUCCUUGAUCACUCCGACCAUCCCGCCGACCGCCUCCAUGCCGGCGCUUCUCUCCGGUGACGUCGCCGACUCCAUCCCAUUCUCCACGGAACACCUCUCCGACAUCAUCACGAUGUUCGCGCCGGCGUCACUCACGAUGACCAGAGAGAUACGGUGGACGCUGGACACUUGCGAGCACCCACGAACGCUCCCCGGCCAGAAAGCAGGCUGCGCCACCUCCUUGGAGUCCCUCGUCGAGCUGCCGGCGUCCCUCCUUGGGAGGGGCAACGUCCGUGCGUUCUCCGCCGUGGAUCUGCCCAUGGAUGGCCCGGGGACACCGGCGCUUAGGGGGAGGUACAACGUGACGGCUGCACGGAAGCUCUCCGGUUCAUCAUCUGAGGUCGUGACCUGCCAUGACCUGACCUACCCGUACUCAGUGUACUACUGCCACACGUCCAGGCCUACGUCUGCGUACAUGGUGACGCUGGCGAGUGUGGAGGAGGGUGCAUCUCCGACGACGAUGGAGGUCAUGGCCGUGUGCCACCUUGACACGUCAUUGUGGAGCCCGAAGAACUCGUUCUUUGAGCUGCACAACGUUAGGCCAGGUGAUGUGGCAGUGUGCCACUUCCUCACUAAGCUGAGCAUCAUCUGGGUGACCGUGGAUGAGCAUGCCGACGCACGGUAG
Molecule: ribosomal RNA, 1026 nt
Filed under: Triticum aestivum (bread wheat)
Lineage: Eukaryota; Viridiplantae; Streptophyta; Magnoliopsida; Poales; Poaceae
Description: partial small subunit ribosomal RNA
Source: RNAcentral